Molecule: ribosomal RNA, 261 nt
Filed under: uncultured archaeon
Lineage: Archaea
Description: partial 16S ribosomal RNA
Rfam family: Archaeal small subunit ribosomal RNA
Source: RNAcentral
CACUGACAUUAGAUACCCGUGUAGUCCAGGGUGUAAACGCUGCAGACUUGGUGUUGGGGGCCCUUUGGGGGCAUUCAGUGCCGGAGAGAAGUUGUUAAGUCUGCUACUUGGGGAGUACGUCCGCAAGGAUGAAACUUAAAGGAAUUGGCGGGGGAGCACCGCAACGGGAGGAGCGUGCGGUUUAAUUGGAUUCAACACCGUAAACUCACCAGGGAAGACUGUUACAUGAAGGCCGAGAUGAAGACUCUGCUAGAUUUUCAG